CUGGACCACAAUGACACUUGUUGGAAAAGGAAGGACCAAAGGUGCCAUCGUCGAGGGCCCAGAUAGAUGAAGAGAUUGAAGCCUGGGCUGCACACAAUCCUAAAAUCUAGGAAGAAGUCGCCACCCACUGAUGAUCUCAUCCACGUUUACCAAAGACUCCAAAGCAGUGUAGGAGAGGAAUGGUGGCCUGUUCGAACAGGCAUGGACUGAAUCGCCAGCUCUCAUCUCCCUAGUCAUUCCGAUGGCCACGUGUCGCUCCUCGAUCAACAGCGAUUUCAAUGAAUGAUGCGUUGAUGUGGGCAAAAAGUGAAUCCUUUCUCGCCUUUGAACUCUGGUGUUCGUCGUAUCAAUCCAUUUUGAUUGCCAAGCAACUUGUGGGCACACCUCAACUUGUUAGUGGGAAGUAAUUUGCAAUAGAGUGACUUACUUUUAUGGGCAGAGACCUGUAUUCAUCCACGACCGGAAGUGUGGCACAGUCACAUAGAGCUUAUCAAAAUGUCAAGUUGUGGUAAAUACAUGGCUGGGAUGGACCAAAGUGGAAUUAAUUCUCAAUCUGUGGUUGAUUCUUAAUCUACAGAGUCAGGCCAUCACAGAAAUAUGCUUUUUGAUAAUAUAUUUAAGAAAAUGUGGUCUCACUGGUCAGUUUAGAACUUGUACUUUGACAGGGCCAUAUCAAUGCACCAGUGACGUUUUGAUGGAUAUGGUGUACGGAAAUCUCUUUUUCUCAGGCAAUCGGUAUUGGAAUUUUUUAAAACUUUAUUAUGCUAUUGGCAAAGGGUUCUUCUUGACACAUAUAAAAUUUUGUGCAGAUUGAUUGGUCCAAUGAGUACUUUUUUACCAAAACCUAUGCACAACAAUGUACACGU
Lineus longissimus is the source of this 866-nucleotide long non-coding RNA. RefSeq lists it as uncharacterized. The transcript is spliced from 3 exons. The record is from RefSeq and is a predicted model, not a curated record. NCBI's taxonomy places the organism in Eukaryota, Metazoa, Nemertea, Pilidiophora, Heteronemertea, Lineidae.